This 1143-nucleotide ribosomal RNA is filed under the name Enterobacter cloacae. RNAcentral describes it as "bacterial SSU rRNA". It matches the Rfam family "Bacterial small subunit ribosomal RNA", at positions 62 to 1195 of the family's 1533-position model. Lineage: Bacteria; Pseudomonadati; Pseudomonadota; Gammaproteobacteria; Enterobacterales; Enterobacteriaceae. The record is from RNAcentral.
UCGAACGGUAGCACAGAGAGCUUGCUCUCGGGUGACGAGUGGCGGACGGGUGAGUAAUGUCUGGGAAACUGCCUGAUGGAGGGGGAUAACUACUGGAAACGGUAGCUAAUACCGCAUAACGUCGCAAGACCAAAGAGGGGGACCUUCGGGCCUCUUGCCAUCAGAUGUGCCCAGAUGGGAUUAGCUAGUAGGUGGGGUAACGGCUCACCUAGGCGACGAUCCCUAGCUGGUCUGAGAGGAUGACCAGCCACACUGGAACUGAGACACGGUCCAGACUCCUACGGGAGGCAGCAGUGGGGAAUAUUGCACAAUGGGCGCAAGCCUGAUGCAGCCAUGCCGCGUGUAUGAAGAAGGCCUUCGGGUUGUAAAGUACUUUCAGCGGGGAGGAAGGCGAUAAGGUUAAUAACCUCGUCGAUUGACGUUACCCGCAGAAGAAGCACCGGCUAACUCCGUGCCAGCAGCCGCGGUAAUACGGAGGGUGCAAGCGUUAAUCGGAAUUACUGGGCGUAAAGCGCACGCAGGCGGGUCUGUCAAGUCGGAUGUGAAAUCCCCGGGCUCAUCCUGGGAACUGCAUUCGAAACUGGCAGGCUAGAGUCUUGUAGAGGGGGGUAGAAUUCCAGGUGUAGCGGUGAAAUGCGUAGAGAUCUGGAGGAAUACCGGUGGCGAAGGCGGCCCCCUGGACAAAGACUGACGCUCAGGUGCGAAAGCGUGGGGAGCAAACAGGAUUAGAUACCCUGGUAGUCCACGCCGUAAACGAUGUCGACUUGGAGGUUGUGCCCUUGAGGCGUGGCUUCCGGAGCUAACGCGUUAAGUCGACCGCCUGGGGAGUACGGCCGCAAGGUUAAAACUCAAAUGAAUUGACGGGGGCCCGCACAAGCGGUGGAGCAUGUGGUUUAAUUCGAUGCAACGCGAAGAACCUUACCUACUCUUGACAUCCAGAGAACUUAGCAGAGAUGCUUUGGUGCCUUCGGGAACUCUGAGACAGGUGCUGCAUGGCUGUCGUCAGCUCGUGUUGUGAAAUGUUGGGUUAAGUCCCGCAACGAGCGCAACCCUUAUCCUUUGUUGCCAGCGGUUAGGCCGGGAACUCAAAGGAGACUGCCAGUGAUAAACUGGAGGAAGGUGGGGAUGACGUCAAAGUCAUCA